RNAcentral lists this ribosomal RNA (253 nucleotides) under uncultured bacterium. RNAcentral's name for it is "partial 16S ribosomal RNA". It matches the Rfam family "Bacterial small subunit ribosomal RNA", at positions 524 to 776 of the family's 1533-position model. The record is from RNAcentral.
UACAGAGGGUGCGAGCGUUAAUCGGAAUUACUGGGCGUAAAGCGCGCGUAGGCGGCUUUGCAAGUCGGGUGUGAAAUCCCCAGGCUUAACCUGGGAACUGCAUUCGAGACUGCAUUGCUAGAGUAUGGGAGAGGGAAGUGGAAUUUCCGGUGUAGCGGUGAAAUGCGUAGAUAUCGGAAGGAACAUCAGUGGCGAAAGCGGCCUUCUGGACAGUGACUGGCGCUGAGACGCGAAAGCGUGGGGAGCAAACAGG